AGGCAGGCUUUCUGGAAGGAUCUGUGGAACCUGAGAUACCAGACUUUUGUGCCGCCUACGGAUGCUCCAAUCGCCGAUGUCUCGAAACGAGAACCCGUGGGAUCACCUUUCACCUGUUUCCCAAAACCAGAGAGAGGAGGAGGACGUGGGAGGUUGCCCUAAGAAGGGACGGUUUUGUUGCUUCUGACAGGACGCUGCUCUGCAGUGAGCACUUCAGGAGUGGAGGGCAUUAGCCAAAUGUUACCACGGUUUUACAGAACUGAUCUUUGCACCACACUUUUGGUUUCCUGCGCUGUUUUACCGAUCAGCAUCAAACAUUGUUAU
Long non-coding RNA from Pleuronectes platessa (European plaice), 324 nucleotides. RefSeq lists it as uncharacterized. The transcript has 3 exons. Lineage: Eukaryota; Metazoa; Chordata; Actinopteri; Pleuronectiformes; Pleuronectidae. The record is from RefSeq and is a predicted model, not a curated record.